GCUGGGUGUGGUGGCACGUGCCUGUAAUCCCUGCUGAAUGGGGAGGCUGAAAUUGAUAGAUCACUUGAGCUUGCAAAUUUUGAAUUGUAGUAGGGCUAAAGUCAGUUAGGUGUCUGCACCGAAUCCAGCACCAAUAUGAUGAGUCUCCGGGAGUGAGGGACCCAACAGGCUGCCUAAAGAGAGGCAAAUGAACCCAGGUUGGAAAAGUUCAAAGCUUCUGUGCUGAUCAGCAGUGGAAUCUGGCCUGUGAGUUGGCACUGUACCUUCAGUCUGGGCAAGAUAGGGAGAC
This 289-nucleotide signal recognition particle RNA is filed under the name Vombatus ursinus (common wombat). RNAcentral describes it as "Metazoan signal recognition particle RNA (ENSVURG00010008774.1)". It matches the Rfam family "Metazoan signal recognition particle RNA". From Rfam's summary of the family: The signal recognition particle (SRP) is a universally conserved ribonucleoprotein. It is involved in the co-translational targeting of proteins to membranes. The record is from Rfam by way of RNAcentral. Lineage: Eukaryota; Metazoa; Chordata; Mammalia; Diprotodontia; Vombatidae.